Molecule: ribosomal RNA, 117 nt
Filed under: Propithecus coquereli (Coquerel's sifaka)
Lineage: Eukaryota; Metazoa; Chordata; Mammalia; Primates; Indriidae
Source: RNAcentral
GUCUAUGGCCAUACCACCCUGAACACACCUGAUCUCGUCUGAUCUCGGAAGCUAAGCAGGGUUGGGCCUAGUUAGUAUGUGGAUGGGAGAAUUGUCAUUUCUUCGACAUCGUCCUCU